AUGGUGUUGGGGUACUCUCCUGAGGAGAGCCAGAGUAUUGCCAACCGUCUUAACUGCCCAUUAGGCUCCUUCCCCACAACCUACUUGGGGAUCCCCACCACUGACUCUCGGCUGUCCAUUGCAGAUUUGCGUCCAUAGGUGCUCAAGCUUCAGCACUGCAUUGAACCUUGGCAUGGUAGAUGGCUCUCUAAGGCGGCUCGAAAAAUCCUGAUCAAUUCCUCCCUGUCCAGCCUCCUGUUGUUCAUCAUGAGCUUCUACAGCCUGCCUGAGACCUUGCACCAUGAGAUUGGCAUGAUCCAGGCACGCUUCUUCUGCGUAGGCGAGGGGGACAAGCAGAAAUACCACAUGGUCCGCUGGUCCAAGAUCUGUAAACCUGGCGACCAAGGCGGUCUCGGUAUCAUCUCCUCCAAAUGCAUGAACAUUGCCCUCCUGACGCGCUGGCUAUGGCGUAUCGGCAACGGCGAGGGCGCUCUUCGGCUGCAGAUUAUGCGGAACAAAUACCUGCACAGAGAGCCUCUUGCAUUUUCCCAAAGGGCGGGUGGCUCCCAGUUCUGGCAGUCAAUCAUCCAGCUGCUCCCGGUCCUCCAGAUUGGGACUUACAUCGCUGUGGGAACGAGAUCAACCAUGCUAUUCUGGUUAGAUAGGUGGACGAGUGAAUUCCCCUUUGCAGCUCACUUCCCGGACUUGUCCGCCAUCACCGUGGACCCUCGGGUCUCCGUGGAGACGGCCCUCACUGACUUUGGGCAUCUCACGUUCAGGCGGCCAUUUGGGCCCCCGGAAUCGAUUGUGUGGCAUGAGCUCCUGGACACUGUUGCUCUCCAUGAGCCAGACCUUGCGCGCCCCCAUGAUGUCGUUUCCUGGCGCUUAGAGCCUCUGGGCACCUUCUCCACCAAAUCCCUAUACCGGGCCAUCGUCCCCACUCCCGCCCCUGAGCCACUUGUAGCGAUUUGGGAGAUCAUGCUUCCUCUAAAGAUUAGGAUUUUAUUGUGGCAAUGGAUUCGUGGAUGA
This 1008-nucleotide ribosomal RNA is filed under the name Triticum aestivum (bread wheat). RNAcentral describes it as "partial small subunit ribosomal RNA". The record is from RNAcentral. Lineage: Eukaryota; Viridiplantae; Streptophyta; Magnoliopsida; Poales; Poaceae.